This 299-nucleotide ribosomal RNA is filed under the name uncultured bacterium. Its description in RNAcentral is "partial 16S ribosomal RNA". It matches the Rfam family "Bacterial small subunit ribosomal RNA", at positions 32 to 323 of the family's 1533-position model. The record is from RNAcentral.
AAUCAACGCUGGCGGCGUGCCUCAGACAUGCAAGUCGAACGAUUAAGACUCUCUUCGGAGAGUGCAUAAAGUGGCGCACGGGUGAGUAACACGUAAGUAAUCUACCUUUGGGUGGGAAUAACAGGUCGGAAACGACUGCUAAUACCGCAUAAUGCAGCGGCUCCUUAUGGAGACAGUUGUUAAAGAUUUAUCGCCUAAAGACGGAGCUUGCGGCAGAUUAGCAGUUGGUAAGGUAACGGCUUACCAAGGCGACGAUCUGUAUCCGACCUGAGAGGGUGGUCGGACACACUGACACUGAA